This 1923-nucleotide long non-coding RNA is filed under the name Gallus gallus (chicken). Its description in RNAcentral is "lncRNA (ENSGALG00010026478.1)". The record is from RNAcentral. Lineage: Eukaryota; Metazoa; Chordata; Aves; Galliformes; Phasianidae.
CCCAGCCCUACAGAGGUCCUGCUGGUUCCCUUGGUCUCACCCCAUGAGGCAGUACCAAGUCUCUACGGUGGGAAGUUAUGGAGUGAAAGGCUCCAUCCACUGCUUAAGUGUAGACAGCACCGUCCUGCUGCUUUCCGCAGGUUGGCCUGAGCUGCUGCUGCUGCUGCACCACGGAGCCGCAUGGCUGUGGAAGCCCACGUGCAACAGAGCGGGGACCUGCAGCAGCACGGAGCCGCGAGCGGUGCCCCGUGCGCCUUCCCUGCUCGGUAUUUGCAGCCCUAUUUGCGAGCCAGACUGGGGUCGACCCAGCAUCCCGUGGCCGACGGCCUUGGAUGCGUUUUGCAAUCGCCUCCGCUUUGCACCAACUUGAGGAAAACCGGGAAAAGGCACUGAUAAUUAAUCUGGAUGGAGUCAGCCAGGCGCCCUGAAACCUCGGCGCAGCCUGUCUCCAAGUGCAGCACUCAAGACUUGAGGCAGUGGGCUCAGGACACGACCAAUAUCCCCUGUGACAACACCAUCAGGAUGUGUUUCCUGGCUUGACCAUGUGUGAGCCCCACAGCCUCUCGCAGGGGAGAGAAGAGUUGAGAAGAGCAGAACAGUGCUGUCCCAGGACAGAGGACUGCCAGCACACCUGCCCUGGAGAAUGAAUUUAGGGCUUUUUCCUUGCAAAGGCUGUGGUGCAUCUCCUUGAUACAGUGAAUCCAUACUGAUGAAUGGGUGUCCGGAGCCCUUUCCCAGCCAGCCUGUGAAAAUUCCUGGACAACAUCAUGCUGUGAAGCUCCAGGUCUUUGCUGUCACAGGUCGGAGGAAUGCCAAGGUAUGAGGGAUGAGCUCUCACCAGACCCAAGCCAGCUUGAUCAGGCUCUGCUGGGGCCAGGCUCCUUGCUGACAACAGGAGGAUCUGGACCAGGGACCGUCUUUCAGAGGAGGCGAAUCCUUAACUUGAACUGCUUCCACGGCCACGUCUGGCAGGCAUCAGGGGACCAGCCGCAGCCGCCCCCAGAAGCAGCAUGAGCCCCGGAGCCAGGCACAGCCCUCCCACGUCUCCUUUGUGCCUCAAGACGCCCGGCCCCGCACCCACCCCCCAAGGGCUGCUUUCCCUGUUGAUAAUCCAUUAUCUACAUUUAAUGCCUCGCUGACGUCCUUCCCUUUGUCUGAUGGUGAAACCUCGACCAGAUGUGAAGCUUCUUAUGUUACUAAUGGCAAAUCCUUUUGCAAUAGCUGGUUGGAAAAUGGGGAAACUGUUUUCAUGAAGUGAAAAUUGAAACAUUGGAGUAAUUUUCAUUCUGCAAGCCUCACAAAGGAGUGGUUUUUAUUUGAGGUCAUUUCUAUUUUUUUUUUCCAGAAAAAAAGCUGUAGCUCAGAAGAUGAGUUUGUGGUAGCGCUCUCACCACUGAACAUUUCUGCUGUCCCAGUGCAGUUCCUAUUACUCUCGUGUUCCACUUCUGAAAAAAAAUGAAGUGGGGGAAGGGAGGUGGCACAGCCCAGGUCUGCAGGCUGCCUGAUGCCUUGCUGGGGCAGCUUAAGGCUUGGGAUACAGCCUGCCCUGGGCAGAGCCAUGAUAGCUGGAGCAGCGAGUCCUUGCCCUGCUGACAACUUAAAGAGGGUCAGCCACAACCCCCCUAUAAAGCAGAGGUGGUAAGGUGUGGCUGAGGAUGGCUCAAUCGUUUGCUGCCUCUCUGAGCAGUGUCCCCAGUAAGCUAUGCAGUGGGAGCGCCUGGGUGAAGAGCAGAAAGCACCCCUUGGUGCAGCGCGUGUUGGUGGGAGAGCAGACAGGCAGCAGUACCCAAACAAAGCCCUCGAGGGUUUGCAGAUGGAGCCAUGGUGCUGCAGGCUAGGAUCUAAACUGAGACCCCCAGGCUACGGGCAUGCAGCUAACACAGCAUGCAGCCCCUUUCUGGAGAGCGACAGCACUAGCAGGGC